RNAcentral lists this long non-coding RNA (232 nucleotides) under Daucus carota (carrot). RNAcentral's name for it is "long non-coding RNA (DCAR_LNC002734)". Lineage: Eukaryota; Viridiplantae; Streptophyta; Magnoliopsida; Apiales; Apiaceae. The record is from RNAcentral.
AAACUGAUAAGUAAGCGACUGAGACUUAGGCAAGUACUCUGGAAUAACGAAGUCAAUGUGCUCAAUCUCAAUAAUUUCAUCAACUACUUUAUGAUCUUCAACAAUUUGAAAGCAGUCGGGUGGCGUGGUUUCUUUUAGUUGCUCCUCACUUGCAACCUCUAUAUGCUCAAUUUGUUUAACAGCCUCAAUUGAAUCUUCCGUUACUUGUUUAACCUCCUCAAUUGAAUCUUCC